This 465-nucleotide ribosomal RNA is filed under the name Vreelandella stevensii. RNAcentral describes it as "partial 16S ribosomal RNA". It matches the Rfam family "Bacterial small subunit ribosomal RNA", at positions 338 to 795 of the family's 1533-position model. The record is from RNAcentral. Lineage: Bacteria; Pseudomonadati; Pseudomonadota; Gammaproteobacteria; Oceanospirillales; Halomonadaceae.
CCUACGGGAGGCAGCAGUGGGGAAUAUUGGACAAUGGGCGAAAGCCUGAUCCAGCCAUGCCGCGUGUGUGAAGAAGGCCUUCGGGUUGUAAAGCACUUUCAGUGGGGAAGAAAGCCUUGGGGCUAAUACCCUCGAGGAAGGACAUCACCCACAGAAGAAGCACCGGCUAACUCCGUGCCAGCAGCCGCGGUAAUACGGAGGGUGCGAGCGUUAAUCGGAAUUACUGGGCGUAAAGCGCGCGUAGGCGGUCUGAUAAGCCGGUUGUGAAAGCCCCGGGCUCAACCUGGGAACGGCAUCCGGAACUGUCAGGCUAGAGUGCAGGAGAGGAAGGUAGAAUUCCCGGUGUAGCGGUGAAAUGCGUAGAGAUCGGGAGGAAUACCAGUGGCGAAGGCGGCCUUCUGGACUGACACUGACGCUGAGGUGCGAAAGCGUGGGUAGCAAACAGGAGUAGAUACCCUUGUAGUC